This 492-nucleotide ribosomal RNA is filed under the name uncultured bacterium. RNAcentral describes it as "partial 16S ribosomal RNA". It matches the Rfam family "Bacterial small subunit ribosomal RNA", at positions 29 to 507 of the family's 1533-position model. The record is from RNAcentral.
AGUGAACGCUGGCGGUAGGCCUAACACAUGCAAGUCGAACGGCAGCACAGUAAGAGCUUGCUCUUACGGGUGGCGAGUGGCGGACGGGUGAGGAAUACAUCGGAAUCUACUUUUUCGUGGGGGAUAACGUAGGGAAACUUACGCUAAUACCGCAUACGACCUACGGGUGAAAGCAGGGGAUCUUCGGACCUUGCGCGAUUGAAUGAGCCGAUGUCGGAUUAGCUAGUUGGCGGGGUAAAGGCCCACCAAGGCGACGAUCCGUAGCUGGUCUGAGAGGAUGAUCAGACACACUGGAACUGAGACACGGUCCAGACUCCUACGGGAGGCAGCAGUGGGGAAUAUUGGACAAUGGGCGAAAGCCUGAUCCAGCCAUACCGCGUGGGUGAAGAAGGCCUUCGGGUUGUAAAGCCCUUUUGUUGGGAAAGAAAAGCAGCAGGUUAAUACCCCGCUGUUCUGACGGUACCCAAAGAAUAAGCACCGGCUAACUUCGUG